GUCAGACGAGGCGAGGAGGCGGAGGCGGUCGCACAUAAACCCUUCGGUAACGUGUGCAAAAGGAGUGCUGUCAUUUUGUUGCCCCAAUUGCGGCCUAAAGGACGCGCACACAUUUGAGAAACAUCCGAAAAAGUCAUACGUCACCUGACCCCGGCACAAGCAAGCAAUAGUAACGUAAGACAAAAGCCUCGAGCUCGUCGUCUUUGUGGGUCAGUGAUGCAACGGGAGUGACGCAGCAGGCGAACUCCCCAACUAUACAUGGCAACGCCAGGAUCGCGGAGGAAGCCGUGCCAGAACUUUGUCCCGCGGACCGCCAACGAGGCGACGGCUCGGAGAGAAGAUGGUGAAAUUCUGACCCGGAGCGGAAGGCGAAGCGACGGGGUGUGAUCCUAAAUAGCAGGAGCAUUUCCCUGACUGCGCGUUUGAAGACUUCCGCACGUUUGGUAUGACUGAUCUGAAAACAUGGUCAUAAUGCAGAAACGUUAUUACCGUGAUGUCAAUCUCCAGGAUUAACAGAAGGUAUUCGGAGCGGAAUAUUCAAAAUGGCUGAGUGAAUUUGUUGCAUUUCGUGAUGUUCAAAAGGGUUUUUUUUUUUACAUACUGUACUUUGCAGAAUGUAAUUACAAAUGGAUAUGGUUUAACGGAUACAAUGAAACACAAAAGCAUAUAGAGUGUACUUGUUUUUCCACUCUGCUGGUACUUUAACACUUAUUUCCUCACCUGUUCCUGGUUGGCUAUUAGGAAGCUCACCUGCUCCUGAUUGUCAAUCAGGAGUGUCACCUGCCUAUCAACACUGGUUCAUUGUUUCCUGUAUGCCACAGUGUGUUUUGUUUCAAUUUUGCUUGUUACCUGGCUGCUCUACGUGCCUUACAUUAGUUCUUUUUUUCAUUCUACUUAAAGAAUUAAAGCUUUUUACCUGCA
This is a long non-coding RNA of Nerophis ophidion (straightnose pipefish), 921 nucleotides long. RefSeq lists it as uncharacterized. Lineage: Eukaryota; Metazoa; Chordata; Actinopteri; Syngnathiformes; Syngnathidae. The transcript is spliced from 3 exons. The record is from RefSeq and is a predicted model, not a curated record.